ACUUUUUAUUGGGACGUUGCCUAUGAUUGGUCUGGGGCAAUUGUUGUUGUGUUUAGUUGAUGUGGUAUCAACAGCAAUUGAACUUUGUAAACGUGGCCGUUUGUGUGUGGGUGGCAGCAGGGCCCUCGAUCCGCAGUGCUCUCUGCCAAACCACCUGCCUGCUGCUGCCCUCCAGUGUACUGGGCCCAGCCCCCAUCCACCUGGACCUGCUUGAGCAUCUGCUGAAGACAGGCUGCACCUGAUGGCCGGGAGGAUGAGUGCCCUGGACGAGAACCAGAGAUGUCACAUAGCUGAGACACUGAUGCUACCCUCUGAGGGAUGGGAAGGGCCUGAGGGCCCUUGUCUUAACUUUGUUCUACAGAAAGAUAACACUGACCUGCUUUGACUCCAUGCUUGAAAGGCAUUGCAGCUGCUGUGCCAUCUAUUUGAUGUCCUGUCUCCUGAUAGUCAUCAUGCCAUUGGACCACAGUAAUCUGAGUGAACCUUAAUUCUAUAGUGCAUUACCAAGAGGGCCAACCUAUUUUCUGGAAUUCUGUGCCAAUCUUUGAUU
Long non-coding RNA from Oncorhynchus gorbuscha (pink salmon), 550 nucleotides. RefSeq lists it as uncharacterized. The transcript has 3 exons. NCBI's taxonomy places the organism in Eukaryota, Metazoa, Chordata, Actinopteri, Salmoniformes, Salmonidae. The record is from RefSeq and is a predicted model, not a curated record.